This 243-nucleotide unclassified non-coding RNA is filed under the name air metagenome. Its description in RNAcentral is "partial contains small subunit ribosomal RNA, internal transcribed spacer 1, and 5.8S ribosomal RNA". The stretch from base 1 to 46 matches the Rfam family "Eukaryotic small subunit ribosomal RNA", at positions 1786 to 1831 of the family's 1831-position model. The record is from RNAcentral.
AAGUCGUAACAAGGUCUCCGUUGGUGAACCAGCGGAGGGAUCAUUACCGAGUUAUACUCCAAACCCACUGUGAACCUUACCAAUUACUGCUGUUGCCUCGGCGGACGGCGAGAGGGCCCCCCUGACGGGGGCGCCCGAUUGCCCCCGCCGGCAGCACCAAACUCUUGAAUUUAUAGCGAAUCUUACUUCUGAAUAACAAAAACAAACAAAUCAAAACUUUCAACAACGGAUCUCUUGGUUCUG